This 468-nucleotide ribosomal RNA is filed under the name uncultured bacterium. RNAcentral's name for it is "partial 16S ribosomal RNA". It matches the Rfam family "Bacterial small subunit ribosomal RNA", at positions 28 to 507 of the family's 1533-position model. The record is from RNAcentral.
GACGAACGCUGGCGGCGUGCUUAACACAUGCAAGUCGAACGGAAAGGCCCUGCUUUUGUGGGGUGCUCGAGUGGCGAACGGGUGAGUAACACGUGAGUAACCUGCCCUUGACUUUGGGAUAACUUCAGGAAACUGGGGCUAAUACCGGAUAGGAGCUCCUGCUGCAUGGUGGGGGUUGGAAAGUUUCGGCGGUUGGGGAUGGACUCGCGGGUUAUCAGCUUGUUGGUGGGGUAGUGGCUUACCAAGGCUUUGACGGGUAGCCGGCCUGAGAGGGUGACCGGCCACAUGGGGACUGAGAUACGGCCCAGACUCCGACGGGAGGCAGCAGUGGGGAAUAUUGCACAAUGGGCGGAAGCCUGAUGCAGCAACGCCGCGUGCGGGAUGACGGCCUUCGGGUUGUAGACCGCUUUCGCCUGUGACGAAGCGUGAGUGACGGUAAUGGGUAAAGAAGCACCGGCUAACUACGUG